Non-coding RNA from Coniella lustricola, 107 nucleotides. The record is from the annotation of a GenBank genome assembly. Lineage: Eukaryota; Fungi; Ascomycota; Sordariomycetes; Diaporthales; Schizoparmaceae.
GGCGCCGUGGCAGAGUGGUCUAAUGCGAUAGACUAGAACCGGCUUAAUAAGCUGAUUCCAGUUAUCUAUUCUCUUCGGAGGCUCAGGUUCGAAUCCUGACGGCGUCG